This 269-nucleotide ribosomal RNA is filed under the name uncultured prokaryote. RNAcentral's name for it is "partial 16S ribosomal RNA". It matches the Rfam family "Bacterial small subunit ribosomal RNA", at positions 524 to 792 of the family's 1533-position model. The record is from RNAcentral.
UACGUAGGAGGCGAGCGUUAUCCGGAUUUACUGGGCGUAAAGAGGGCGUAGGCGGCCUGUCAAGUCGGAUGUGAAAUCUCCCGGCUUAACUGGGAGGGUGCAUUCGAUACUGAUGGGCUAGAGUGCAGCAGAGGGAAGUGGAACUCCCGGUGUAGUGGUGAAAUGCGUAGAUAUCGGGAGGAACACUAGUGGCGAAGGCGACUUCCUGGGCUGUUACUGACGCUGAGGUCCGAAGGCGUGGGGAGCAAACAGGAUUAGAUACCCGCGUA